This is a long non-coding RNA of Triticum dicoccoides, 352 nucleotides long. RefSeq lists it as uncharacterized. Lineage: Eukaryota; Viridiplantae; Streptophyta; Magnoliopsida; Poales; Poaceae. The transcript has 2 exons. The record is from RefSeq and is a predicted model, not a curated record.
UAAAAGAUAAACACAGAAGAAAGAGUGCAGACAAAGAAUUUAGUGUUUGUGCCCUCAGCAGAUGGAGAAAACUAUACUUUGUUUCCUGACGGUGCUUGUGUUGCUAGGAAAUUUCACAUAUGCAGAGAUUUGUGAAUCACACCGAUUUUGGGUGUUCGGUUGCUCCCAGGGUGAAUGUCAGAUAGGCUGCGAAAUUACAUACCCAGGAAAGAACAUCAAGAAAGCUUCAUGUACUAAAAACUAUUGCAUAUGUGUAGUUUGUAACUAGAACUACACUCUAGUCAUGGAUAUGUAUGACAUCAUGUGAUAAACGUCAAAGACAUGAAUAAUAAAGUUGAAUAAUAUAUGCUGA